RNAcentral lists this non-coding RNA (365 nucleotides) under Roseburia sp. CAG:18. RNAcentral also lists the same sequence under 1 other name. Lineage: Bacteria; Bacillati; Bacillota; Clostridia; Lachnospirales; Lachnospiraceae. The record is from RNAcentral.
UUUCAUAAAAAGAUCUUUGGUGCCUGCCAUAUAAAGCCGCUUUGCACGGGCUUGUAUGCGCAGGGUAAAAGGGAAACAGGUGCAAAUCCUGUACGAACUCGUCACUGUGAUUAGGGAGUAACUGCAAAGAAGCACACCGCAUGAGAAAUCCGCUGACGCGGAUGCGGUGUACAUAGGAAAUGCAGCUUAGGCUGCAUUUCAAGAAGGAGCACAUCGCAUGAGAAAUCCGCUGACGCGGAUGCGAUGUACGUAGGAAAUGCAGCUUAGGCUGCAUUUCAGGUGCCACUGAUGCAACUGCAUUGGGAAGGCGAAGCAUGUUAUGAUGAUCUAUGAGCCAGGAAACCUGCCAAUGAUCUGGUACAGAA